RNAcentral lists this ribosomal RNA (434 nucleotides) under uncultured bacterium. RNAcentral's name for it is "bacterial LSU rRNA". It matches the Rfam family "Bacterial large subunit ribosomal RNA", at positions 1366 to 1807 of the family's 2925-position model. The record is from RNAcentral.
UCGUCAUCGUAGGGUUAGUCGGGUCCUAAGACGAGUCCGAAAGGGGUAGUCGAUGGCAAAUGGGUUAAUAUUCCCAUACCAACAUAAGUGCGCGAUGGGGGGACGCAUAGGGCUAAAUGGCGUUAGCUGAUGGAAUAGCUAAUUUAAGAGCGUAGAUUGGAGGAUUGGCAAAUCCGCCUCUGUAUUCGAAACUCAAAUAGCUUAUUGCGAUCUUCGGAUCAAGAUGAGUGCCAUUGAUGCCGUCGUGCCAAGAAAAGCCUCUAAGUUUAGCUUAUGUUGCCCGUACCGCAAACCGACACAGGUAGAUGAGAUGAGUAUUCUAAGGCGCGUGAAAGAACUCUGGUUAAGGAACUCUGCAAACUAGCACCGUAAGUUCGCGAUAAGGUGUGCCUAAGCAAUUAGGUCUCAGCAAAGAGUCCCUCCCGACUGUUUAC